AGGCGUGUGGCGUAGUAAGUAGCGUCGCCCUUAAGCAUGGGAGAGGUCUCCGGUUCGAUUCCGGACUCGUCCA
RNAcentral lists this transfer RNA (73 nucleotides) under Saccharomyces cerevisiae (brewer's yeast). The record is from RNAcentral. Lineage: Eukaryota; Fungi; Ascomycota; Saccharomycetes; Saccharomycetales; Saccharomycetaceae.